Small nucleolar RNA from Lactuca sativa (garden lettuce), 107 nucleotides. Lineage: Eukaryota; Viridiplantae; Streptophyta; Magnoliopsida; Asterales; Asteraceae. The record is from RefSeq and is a predicted model, not a curated record.
AAAUUAUGUUCAUGGCAAUUUCUUAGUAAUCCCCUGUAGCGCUCCCAAGCUUCAUAUAACGACUACCCAUCAUUUUGUUGGAAAUUCAUGAUGUUCUUCUUCAAUUU